Molecule: ribosomal RNA, 253 nt
Filed under: uncultured bacterium
Lineage: Bacteria
Description: partial 16S ribosomal RNA
Rfam family: Bacterial small subunit ribosomal RNA
Source: RNAcentral
UACAGAGGGUGCGAGCGUUAACCGGAAUUACUGGGCGUAAAGCGCACGUAGUCGGCUUGGCAAGUCGGGUGUGAAAUCCCCGGGCUCAACCUGGGAACUGCAUCCGAGACUGCAUUGCUAGAGUAUGGGAGAGGGAAGCGGAAUUUCUGGUGUAGCAGUGAAAUGCGUAGAUAUCAGAAGGAACAUCAGUGGCGAAGGCGGCUUCCUGGACCAAUACUGACGAUCAGGUGCGAAAGCGUGGGGAGCAAACAGG